Molecule: ribosomal RNA, 445 nt
Filed under: uncultured bacterium
Lineage: Bacteria
Description: partial 16S ribosomal RNA
Rfam family: Bacterial small subunit ribosomal RNA
Source: RNAcentral
GUGAGGAAUAUUGCGCAAUGGAGGCAACUCUGACGCAGCCAUGCCGCGUGCAGGAAGAAGGCGCUACGCGUUGUAAACUGCUUUUAACCGGGAAGAAACCCCAGGACGUGUCCUGGGUUGACGGUACCGGAGGAAUAAGCACCGGCUAACUUCGUGCCAGCAGCCGCGGUAAUACGAAGGGUGCAAGCGUUAUCCGGAUUCAUUGGGUUUAAAGGGUGCGUAGGCGGAGCGUUAAGUCAGUGGUGAAAUCCUGCAGCUUAACUGUAGACUUGCCAUUGAUACUGGCGCUCUUGAGUGCGCUGGAAGUGGGCGGAAUGUGCCGUGUAGCGGUGAAAUGCUUAGAUAUGGCACAGAACACCAAUUGCGAAGGCAGCUCACUAAGGCGAUACUGACGCUGAGGCACGAAAGCGUGGGGAUCGAACAGGAUUAGAAACCCGGGUAGUCC